AGUUUCCCUUUUAAAUGAGGAUCCGAAGAGUCUAGAUAUAUUUAUAAAAGCUGUGCACACAACAAAGGAACUUUACGCAGGAAUGCCAACCAUUCAGAUCACAGCCCUUGAAAAGAUUACAAAACCAUUUUUUGCAGCCAUAUCAGAUGAAAAAGUUCAGCAGAAGCUUUUAAGAAUGUUGUUUGAUUUAUUGGUGAACUGUAAAAACUCACAUUGUGCUCAGACUGUCAGCAGUGUUUUUAAAGGGGUAAGCUGCAAACUUCUUGUAAUUUUUUUAUUAAUGUUUAUAGUCUCUUCCAAGGGACACCAUGUUUAAGAGUCCUGUAUUUUAUAGUGCUUGUAAGAGGUCAGAUGUUACCAUUAACAAAAAUCAUGGGAAAGUAAGUCAUAGGCAUAAAAUAAAAAUUUUAAAUCUUUACCAUUAUUUUAUUUUAUGAAGUAUUUGUUG
This 448-nucleotide small RNA is filed under the name Pan troglodytes (chimpanzee). Its description in RNAcentral is "processed transcript". Lineage: Eukaryota; Metazoa; Chordata; Mammalia; Primates; Hominidae. The record is from RNAcentral.